RNAcentral lists this ribosomal RNA (496 nucleotides) under uncultured bacterium. RNAcentral describes it as "partial 16S ribosomal RNA". It matches the Rfam family "Bacterial small subunit ribosomal RNA", at positions 28 to 506 of the family's 1533-position model. The record is from RNAcentral.
GAUGAACGCUGGCGGCGUGCCUAAUACAUGCAAGUCGAGCGAACGGACGAGAAGCUUGCUUUUCUGAUGUUAGCGGCGGACGGGUGAGUAACACGUGGAUAACCUACCUAUAAGACUGGGAUAACUUCGGGAAACCGGAGCGAAUACCGGAUAAUAUUUUGAACCGCAUGGUUCAAAAGUGAAAGACGGUCUUGCUGUCACUUAUAGAUGGAUCCGCGCUGCAUUAGCUAGUUGGUAAGGUAACGGCUUACCAAGGCAACGAUGCAUAGCCGACCUGAGAGGGUGAUCGGCCACCCUGGAGCUGAGACACGGUCCAGACUCCUACGGGAGGCAGCAGUAGGGAAUCUUCCGCAAUGGGCGAAAGCCUGACGGAGCCACGCCGCGUGAGUGAUGAAGGUCUUCGGCUCGUAAAACUCUGUUAUUAGGGAAGAACAUAUGUGUAAGUAACUGUGCACAUCUUGACGGUACCUAAUCAGAAAGCCCCGGCUAACUCCGU